GGAUUAGAAACCCCGGUAGUCCUGGCCGUAAACGAUGGGCACUGGGUAGGGGGCUCGCCGAUGGGCUCCCUGCCGUAGGGAAACCGUGAAGUGCCCCGCCUGGGGAGUGUGGUCGCAAGGCUGAAACUCAAAGGAAUUGACGGGGGCUCACACAAGCGGUGGAGCAUGUGGCUUAAUUCGAGGCUACGCGCAAAACCUUAUCCCGGGCUUGACAUGCACGGAUUAACCGGCGGAAAACGUCGGCCACGCCGCAAGGUGGAACGUGCACAGGUGCUGCAUGGCUGUCGUCAGCCCGUGUCGUGAGAUGUUGGGUUCAGUCCCGUAACGAGCGCAACCCCUGUGAUUAGUUGCCAACGCGUCAUGGCGGGGACUCUAAUCAGACCGCCGGCGUC
RNAcentral lists this ribosomal RNA (392 nucleotides) under uncultured bacterium. RNAcentral describes it as "bacterial SSU rRNA". It matches the Rfam family "Bacterial small subunit ribosomal RNA", at positions 775 to 1159 of the family's 1533-position model. The record is from RNAcentral.